Molecule: ribosomal RNA, 318 nt
Filed under: Limnonectes grunniens
Lineage: Eukaryota; Metazoa; Chordata; Amphibia; Anura; Dicroglossidae
Description: partial 12S ribosomal RNA
Rfam family: Bacterial small subunit ribosomal RNA
Source: RNAcentral
CUCACACUACCAACGCCAGGGUAUUACGAGCUCAGCUUAAAACCCAAAGGACUUGACGGUGUCCCAUCCAACUAGAGGAGCCUGUUCUAUAAUCGAUAACCCCCGAUUUACCUAACCCUGUUUUGCCAAUCAGCCUGUAUACCUCCGUCGUAAACUUACCAUAUGAAUGCCCACAGUAAGUAUGAUGGUCCUAACACCAACACGUCAGGUCAAGGUGCAGCUCAUAACAGGGGAAGUGAUGGGCUACAAUUUCUAAAAUAGAAUACACGGAAUACUGCAUGAAAUACAGUUAUGAAGGCGGAUUUAGUAGUAAAAAGG